GACGAACGCUGGCGGCGUGCUUAACACAUGCAAGUCGAACGGAAAGGCCCUGCUUUUGUGGGGUGCUCGAGUGGCGAACGGGUGAGUAACACGUGAGUAACCUGCCCUUGACUUUGGGAUAACUUCAGGAAACUGGGGCUAAUACCGGAUAGGAGCUCCUGCUGCAUGGUGGGGGUUGGAAAGUUUCGGCGGUUGGGGAUGGACUCGCGGCUUAUCAGCUUGUUGGUGGGGUAGUGGCUUACCAAGGCUUUGACGGGUAGCCGGCCUGAGAGGGUGACCGGCCACAUGGGUACUGAGAGACGGCCCAGACUCCUACGGGAGGCAGCAGUGGGGAAUAUGGCACAAUGGGCGGAAGCCUGAUGCAGCAACGCCGGGUGCGGGAUGACGGCCUUCGGGUUGUAAACCGCUUUCGCCUGUGACGAAGCGGGAGUGACGGUAAUGGGUAAAGAAGCACCGGCUAACUACGUG
This 468-nucleotide ribosomal RNA is filed under the name uncultured bacterium. Its description in RNAcentral is "partial 16S ribosomal RNA". It matches the Rfam family "Bacterial small subunit ribosomal RNA", at positions 28 to 507 of the family's 1533-position model. The record is from RNAcentral.